RNAcentral lists this ribosomal RNA (443 nucleotides) under uncultured bacterium. RNAcentral describes it as "partial 16S ribosomal RNA". It matches the Rfam family "Bacterial small subunit ribosomal RNA", at positions 338 to 795 of the family's 1533-position model. The record is from RNAcentral.
CCUACGGGUGGCAGCAGUGGGGGAUAUUGGACAAUGGGGGAAACCCUGAUCCAGCGACGCCGCGUGAGUGAAGAAGUAUUUCGGUAUGUACAGCUCUUUCAGCAGGGAAGAAAGAAAUGACGGUACCUGACCAAGAAGCCUCGGCUAACUACGUGCCAGCAGCCGCGGUAAUACGUAGGGCGCAAGCCUUAUCCGGAAUUACUGGGUGUAAAGGGAGCGUAGACGGUGAUGCAGGUCUGGAGGGAAAGGCGGGGGCCCAACCCCCGGACUGCUCUGGCAACUGGGUAACUUGAGUGCAGGAGAGGUAAGCGGAAUUCGUAGUGUAGCGGUGAAAUGCGUAGAUAGUAGGAGGAACACCAGUGGCGAAGGCGGCUUACUGGACUGCAACUGACGUUGAGGCUCGAAAGCGUGGGGAGCAAACAGGAUUAGAUACCCGUGUAGUC